RNAcentral lists this ribosomal RNA (465 nucleotides) under uncultured bacterium. RNAcentral describes it as "partial 16S ribosomal RNA". It matches the Rfam family "Bacterial small subunit ribosomal RNA", at positions 338 to 795 of the family's 1533-position model. The record is from RNAcentral.
CCUACGUUAGGCAGCAGUAGGGCAUCUUCGGCAAUGGGCGCAACCCUGACCGAGCCACGCCGCGUGAGUGAAGAAGGCUUUCGGAUCGUACAGCUCUGUUGUACGAGAAGCACGUGUGUGAGAGUGUAAAGUUCACACAGUGACGGUCACUUACCAGAAAGGGACGGCUAACUCCGUGCCGGCAGCCGCGGUAAUACGUAGGUCCCGAUCGUUAUCGGGAUUUAUUGGGCGUAAGGCGAGCGCAGGGGGUUGAAUAAGUCUGAAGUAAAAGUCUGUGGCUUAACCAUGGUAUGCUUUGGAAACUGGUCAACUUGAGUGCAGAAGGGGAGGGUGGAAUUCCAGGUGUAGCGGUGGAAUGCGUAGAUAUAUGGAGGAACACCGGUGGCGAAAGCGGCUCUCUGGUCUGUGACUGACGCUGAGGCUCGAAAGCGUGGGGAGCGAACAGGAUUAGAUACCCGAGUAGUC